Molecule: ribosomal RNA, 253 nt
Filed under: uncultured bacterium
Lineage: Bacteria
Description: partial 16S ribosomal RNA
Rfam family: Bacterial small subunit ribosomal RNA
Source: RNAcentral
UACGGGGGGGGCAAGCGUUGUUCGGAAUUACUGGGCGUAAAGGGUUCGUAGGUGGCUUGUUAAGUCAGACGUGAAAUCCCUCGGCUCAACCGGGGAACUGCGUCUGAGACUGAUGAGCUCGAGUGCAGGAGAGGAACGCGGAAUUCCAGGUGUAGCGGUGAAAUGCGUAGAUAUCAGGAGGAACACCGGUGGCGAAGGCGGGUCUCUGGGCCGAAAUUGACGCUGAGGAGCGAAAGCGUGGGGAGCAAACAGG